AGAGUUUGAUCCUGGCUCAGAACGAACGCUGGCGGCGUGCCUAACACAUGCAAGUCGAACGAGAAAGUUUCCUUCGGGAAACCAGUAAAGUGGCGCAAGGGUGAGUAACACGUGAAUAAUCUGCCUACGAAUUCGGGAUAACUCGACGAAAGUUGUGCUAAUACCGGAUAAGACCACACUUCUUAUGGAGCGUGGCCAAAGGAGUCUCAAACUCCGUUUGUAGAUGAGUUCGCGGACCAUUAGCUUGUUGGCGGGAUAACAGCCCACCAAGGCGACGAUGGUUAGCCGGCCUGAGAGGGUGAUCGGUCACACUGGAACUGAGACACGGUCCAGACUCCUACGGGAGGCAGCAGUGGGGAAUAUUGCGCAAUGGGCGAAAGCCUGACGCAGCAACGCCGUGUGAGGGAUGAAGGCUCUUGAGUCGUAAACCUCUGUCAGAUGGGAAGAAUUCUGACGGUACCAUCAGAGGAAGCACCGGCUAACUCCGUGCCAGCAGCCGCGGUAAUACGGAGGGUGCAAGCGUUAAUCGGAAUUACUGGGCGUAAAGCGUGCGUAGGCGGUUUAUUAAGUCAGAUGUGAAAGCCCCGGGCUUAACCUGGGAACUGCAUUUGAAACUGGUCAACUUGAGUAUGGUAGAGGAAAGUGGAAUUUCUGGUGUAGCGGUGAAAUGCGUAGAUAUCAGAAGGAACAUCAAUGGCGAAGGCAGCUUUCUGGACCAAUACUGACGCUGAGGUACGAAAGCGUGGGUAGCAAACAGGAUUAGAUACCCUGGUAGUCCACGCCGUAAACGAUGAUAACUAGCCGUUGGGGGGAUUUACCCCUUAGUGGCGAAGCUAACGCGUUAAGUUAUCCGCCUGGGGAGUACGGCCGCAAGGCUAAAACUCAAAGGAAUUGACGGGGACCCGCACAAGCGGUGGAGCAUGUGGUUUAAUUCGAUGCAACGCGAAGAACCUUACCUGGUCUUGACAUCCUGCGAACUUUCUAGAAAUAGAUUGGUGCCUUCGGGAACGCAGUGACAGGUGCUGCAUGGCUGUCGUCAGCUCGUGUCGUGAGAUGUUGGGUUAAGUCCCGUAACGAGCGCAACCCCUAUCCUUAUUUGCCAGCACAUUAUGGUGGGAACUAUAAGGAGACUGCCGGUGAUAAACCGGAGGAAGGCGGGGACGACGUCAAGUCAUCAUGGCCCUUACGACCAGGGCUACACACGUGCUACAAUGGGAAGGACAAAGAGCCGCGAAGCCGCGAGGUGUAGCUAAUCUCAUAAAUCUUUUCGUAGUCCGGAUUGGAGUCUGCAACUCGACUCCAUGAAGUCGGAAUCGCUAGUAAUCGUAGAUCAGAAUGCUACGGUGAAUACGUUCCCGGGUCUUGUACACACCGCCCGUCAUACCAUGGGAGUGGGUUGCACCAGAAGUGGCUAGUCUAACUUAGUGAGGACGGUCACCACGGUGUGAUUCAUGACUGGGGUAAAGUCGUAACAAGGUAACC
RNAcentral lists this ribosomal RNA (1482 nucleotides) under uncultured bacterium. Its description in RNAcentral is "partial 16S ribosomal RNA". It matches the Rfam family "Bacterial small subunit ribosomal RNA". The record is from RNAcentral.